This 305-nucleotide ribosomal RNA is filed under the name uncultured bacterium. RNAcentral's name for it is "bacterial SSU rRNA". It matches the Rfam family "Bacterial small subunit ribosomal RNA", at positions 338 to 657 of the family's 1533-position model. The record is from RNAcentral.
CCUACGGGGGGCAGCAGUGGGGAAUAUUGGGCAAUGGGCGCAAGCCUGACCCAGCAACGCCGCGUGAAGGAAGAAGGCUUUCGGGCUGUAAACUUCUUUUAUGAGGGACGAAACAAAUGACGGUACCUCAUGAAUAAGCCACGGCUAACUACGUGCCAGCAGCCGCGGUAAUACGUAGGUGGCAAGCGUUAUCCGGAUUUACUGGGUGUAAAGGGCGUGUAGGCGGGACUGCAAGUCAGAUGUGAAAAUUAUGGGCUCAACCCAUAACCUGCAUUUGAAACUGUAGUUCUUGAGUGAUGGAGAGG